CCUCCGGGAGGCAGCAUCUGAGGAAUGGGAAUCAAUGGAGACAAUUCUGAACCAGCCAAGUCGACGUGAAGGAUGACGGCCUUAGGGGUAGGAAACUUCUUUUUUGGGGGAAUAAACGGGGUUACGGGGAAAUGACGGUACCCACCCAGAAAGCCCCGGUUAACUAACUGCCAGCCAGCAGGGUAAUUAAUAGGGGGGGUGCGUUGUCCGUAAUUAUUUGGUGUAAAGAAAGGGUAGGCGGGCGGGUAAGUCAGUCGGGGAAGAAAUCCCGGGGAUCAACCCAUGGCAUGCCAAAGAAAAGGGUUUCAGUGUCGGAGAGGGAAGCGGAAUUACCUCGGGAUCGGGCGAAGAAAUGCAUAGAUAGAGGGACGAACUCCGAUAAGGUGGGCACCUUGCCAUUACAUAACGGACAGUCACGCAAGAAGGGGUGGGGAUCAAACAGGAUUAGAUACCCUGUUAGUCCACGCAACGAAGGGUGAUAGGUGUUUGUGGGCGAGACACCAUCAGUGCCGAGUUAACG
This 520-nucleotide ribosomal RNA is filed under the name uncultured bacterium. RNAcentral's name for it is "bacterial SSU rRNA". It matches the Rfam family "Bacterial small subunit ribosomal RNA", at positions 338 to 857 of the family's 1533-position model. The record is from RNAcentral.